This 766-nucleotide unclassified non-coding RNA is filed under the name uncultured bacterium. RNAcentral describes it as "partial contains 16S ribosomal RNA, 16S-23S ribosomal RNA intergenic spacer, and 23S ribosomal RNA". The stretch from base 632 to 766 matches the Rfam family "Bacterial large subunit ribosomal RNA", at positions 1 to 135 of the family's 2925-position model. The record is from RNAcentral.
GCUGGAUCCCCUCCUUUCUAAGGAUUUUCACGAAAGCGCCGGCGCUAGCCGCUGGAAGAGCUUCGUGAUCUCCAAAGAACAUUGCCGUCGUCCUCAUGUCCUUUCAUCACUGGAGAUCAGCGUGAAUUCGCGCCACUUGUGCGGUCGUCUUCGCUGCUGUUGCCUGAGCUGGCUUGCGCGGCUAUCGGCCCUUUCGGCCGGUUUCGGCUUGUGUGGGCCUGUAGCUCAGUUGGUUAGAGCGCACCCCUGAUAAGGGUGAGGUCAGAAGUUCAAAUCUUCUCAGGCCCACCAUUCUUGUCUGGUUACGGGGCCUUAGCUCAGCUGGGAGAGCACCUGCUUUGCAAGCAGGGGGUCAUCGGUUCGAUCCCGAUAGGCUCCACCAGGCAAUAACCUCCAGAGAUGAGGAAAACAGAUCCCGCGCUUGGCGGGUAGGCGGCUCAGGCCGCUGUCUUUGACAUUGUGAAUGGGUUUUAUAAUCGAUGCCGCGGUGCAUUGAAUCAUCGAUCGCAAGAUCGUUGUUCAUGCGCUGCAACAUUAAUCAGAUGUACUAUCUGGCUGAGAUUAUUCUUUCCGCACCAUCGUUAAGGCGCACGGGCUUUUAUGCAGGCCUGUCGUUGAUGGUGUGGAUUCUCAAGCGUGAGGUAAGAGCAUUUGGUGGAUGCCUUGGCGUAUACAGGCGAUGAAGGACGUGGCACGCUGCGAUAAGCGUGGGGGAGCCGUGAGCAGGCUUUGAUCCCGCGAUUUCCGAAUGGGGAAACCCGGAAGC